AGAGUGAACGCUGGCGGUAGGCCUAACACAUGCAAGUCGAACGGCAGCACGGUAAGAGCUUGCUCUUAUGGGUGGCGAGUGGCGGACGGGUGAGGAAUACAUCGGAAUCUACCUUUUGGUGGGGGAUAACGUAGGGAAACUUACGCUAAUACCGCAUACGCCCUUCGGGGGAAAGCCGGGGACCGAGCAAUGGCCUGGUGCUGAUAGAUGAGCCGAUGUCGGAUUAGCUAGUUGGUGAGGUAAUGGCUCACCGAAGGCGACGAUCCGUAGCUGGUCUGAGAGGAUGAUCAGCCACACUAGGAACUGACGACGA
Molecule: ribosomal RNA, 313 nt
Filed under: uncultured soil bacterium
Lineage: Bacteria
Description: bacterial SSU rRNA
Rfam family: Bacterial small subunit ribosomal RNA
Source: RNAcentral